CACACACACACACACACACACACACGAGGAGUGCAGGGGGGAGCUUUGCCCCCCCCCCCUCUUCCGCCCUAUCCCGUCGGUAGGGGUGCCCUGAAAAGUCGUAACCCACGUGGUAAGUCCGUUUGGUCUGUGUCCAUUUGUUACUGUGUCCGUUUCACUCAGCCUGCUGUGUCCGUUUAUUACUGUGCGCAUCUGGGACGCUCCCGCGUGAAGCGCAUGAGGUAAGACUGGCAGUGAGACUGACACGUGAACGGCUUUGAUGUUUGGCCGAGUUUUUCGAGAAUUUUCCUCUUUUACUAGCGUAUACACAUUUACAUAUACAUCUACUGUUCACUGUUGUCUACAACAGUAACAAUACUAGCUUGUGUGUAGUGUGUAUAUCGUAUAAUCGGUAAAUCUUUAACAGUUGACACUGUACGUUCUAGUAAUAAAGUUUUUUAUGAAGAUAAACUCUGAUGUGUGUUCUACGCGGAGUUCGAAACAACGAAUAAGUUUUUGUUUUAUUGUUUUUUAAUUAAUUAUAUUUGACUAUUAUUAAUAGUAAAGAAAAUUACUAAUCAAUAUUUCACAACCAUUAACGUAAAAUUCUUGAUAUAAAUGAAUGAAUUUAUUUUUAUGAUUUGUUGUUUCAUUUUUCAUAAAAUUAAUAUUUAAAAUAGUUGGAGAAAUGAGGUUAAUAGGAAUUCGCCGCGGUAAUUAAUGCGCUGUGAUUAUGGUUUGAGCUCUAGUUUAUUGCUUUAACUUAUCUCCAAACGUUUCAGCUAUGGAUUUAGCCAUCUUCAGUGUGUAUAUUAUUAAUAAAAGAAUUGUACAUAUAUACUUAUAACUUCGUCUUUGUCCUGUAGUAAGUAACUAAUGGGAUAUGAUUCCAAACAAGUUGAAUGACCAUAUUGAGAAAAACCACUAUGUCUCACCUAUUAAUUAAGUUUAUGACGUACAGGGUCAGUAUUAAUUUUGUUAUAACAUUAAAUUUAGUUAAUUAUAACAUUAAAUUUAGUUAUAAAAGUUAUUUAUAACAUUAAAAUUAGUUAUAAAAUUAAUCUUACCACAGGACAAUGAUCGGAUGCUAGUGUUACAAUUAAUAUGAUUUUUGUGUUUGUUGAUUCGAGUCUUUAAUUAUCUAGCCAUUUGACCAACAUAGGAUGCAUCACAAUUCUUGCAAUUAAUUAAAAUACUGCUAAAAUACUGGGACAACAAAAAACAUACGUUACUUACAGAUGUCUCAGAUAAAAACACUUUUACGUAAUAACUCGAAUAAAACAACUAUUUGUUUAAAGUCAACUGAACUUGAAAACAAAGUAAACAACUUAUUAUUAACAACAAUUAAAGAAAGAUGGUUUAUUAACUUAUCAACAAAAGUAAUUCCAGAUGAAAUUAUAAACUUUUCACAAUUAGGAGAUAAUUUUGAAUUACCAUGCUACAAUGAAAAUACUGAUUUUAUAAAAAACAGAAAACAAUUUAAAGGAGCUAAAGACAAAACAACAUUACAAGUAGAUUCAUCAUACUUAUUAAGAAAGCUACCAAACUGACUAACUACCAAUCAAACUAAUAAACUAGUUAAUAUUUUACAUUAAAAAACGGGACAGUUUUUAAACAACAGUUCUAACAUUAUUAUAAUGAGAACAGACAAAAAGAACAUCACUGUAGAGUUAGACAAAGACACAUACAAAUCCAAAAUUAAUAACAUGCUUAAUAACAAAGAAACAUACUCGCAAAGACAUAAAGAUUUAACUAAAUCUAAAACAAUGACAAAAAAGUGAGAAAACUCCUUGGUAGAUGGAAGGAUGUGGGAUACAUCACAGAAAAUAAGCAGAGAAAAUUAUAUAACAGUGAUGGUAGUCUCCCAAAAGCCUGUGGACUUCCAAAGGUUCACAAAGAGAAUUGCCCUUUUAGAAUAAUAGUUUCAUGCAUAGACAGUCCUACAUAUCUCUUGGCUACAUUUUUCCACGAGUUAAUUUCUGGGAAUAUUUCUAAGGCAAAAAGCCACAUUGGCAACAGUUUUGAAUUGGUCAAUAGUCUUAACAAUAAAGUAAUUGAGAAAGAAAUGUUUCUUAUAUCACUAGACGUAGUUUUAUUAUUUAUGAAUAUUCUGAUAGAUUUAGCCAUUAGAAGUAUAUAUUAAAUAGAUGGGAACAUAAAGAAAGAUCGUGACCUUCCGGAUGAUGAAUUUUUGAAUGCCAUCAGAUUUGUUCUUUGGUCCAUUUUUUCAUAUUUGAUUUAUAAGCAAAUUUAUAAGCAGUUUUUUAGAAUUGCUAUGGGCUCCCCACUUUCUCCGAGCUGACAUUGUGAUGCAGGAUUUGGAGAAUGGAGUGACCACGUUAGGUUUUAAAGUUCUGGUAUAUUACAAAUAUGUUGAUGACAUAAUCACAGUAUUACCUAUUUAGAGAUUGAUAACAUUCUUAAAAAGUUUAACUCAAUCCACCCCGCGUUACAAUUUACAAUGGAAAAAAGUAGAAACGAAAUUAAUUUUCUUGACGUUACUGUUAUUAAAAGCAACAACAGACUAAUCUUUGAUUGAUAUAAAAAAUCAACAUUUUUGGGCAGAUUUUAAAUUUCUUUUUUACUCAUUCCAUUCCCUCCUCCCCCCAAAAGGUAUGAUAAUGUGUUUGGUUGAUAGGAUGUUUUUUUUGUCGCAAUUUUAUCAGAAUUUUACCAGAAAAAUUUUGAAUUAAUUAUUAAAAAUUUGGAAGAUAACAAUUAUCUAAUCAAGUUCAUUUUUAAUAUAAUUUAAAAAAGAAUAAAAAAUUUAAUAGAAAACACAUUGAAACAAACAAAAUCCCAAUCUUAGCAAGAUUCACAUUUAGACGAAAAAACAAAAUGGUUUACAGUUCCUUUCAGUCAGAAACAUAUCGGAAAAGUUUAGAAAAAUGUUAAAGAAUACUAAUGGAAAAAUGGGUUUCUUUACUAACAAGCUGAACAAAAUUAAAGUUUAUAAAGACCCACUACUGAUUUUAACACAAAAAAUGUGCAUAAAAUUAAUUGCAAAAAUUGUGGUGCAUCUUAUGUUGAUCAAACAGGUAGACAAUUAAAGACUCGAAUCAGCAAAAACAAAAAUCAUAUUAAUCGUAAUACUAACACACAAUCUGUUAUCACUGAACAUAAGAUGAAUUACAAUCAUGAAUUUGAAUGGAAAGACGUAAAAAUUUGGAUGUGGAAAGAAACAUUAAUAAAAGAUUAAUAUCUGAAAUGGUUUAUAUUAAAAGUUUAAAUAACAAACUCUAUUACCAAAUGGAUACAGAAUACUUAGACCGCACUUACAAUGAAAUAAUUAAUAAGACGAAUUCUCAACACAAACAGAAUACUUGAAAAAGACUCCAUUCAUGUAAACAGCACAUAACAGACAGUAGGAUAGGACGUUAUCAGUUUACCGUUAGAUACACAUUGAAUAACUUCAAAAACAAUGCAGCACUGACCGGAGCUAAAUUGCUAGGAAGUUUAUCGUUUUAAUCAAAAAUAACAAAAAUAAUUAUAGUAUAUUAAAGGAACCUUUUACAUAAGACUUAUAAGAUUGUAAUCUUGACAAUACUUAUAUAAUUUGUGAAUGUGACUUGUGUAUGAAUGUAUCAAUACUGGCAAUGUUUUUUAUUAAGCGUGACACAUUAAAAUGACAGUGCUAAUAACCGUCGUAAAAAAAACGAUUGGUUGUCCUGUGACAUUCAACUUGUUUGGAAUCAUAUCUCAUUAGUUACUUACCACAGGACAAAGAUGAAGUUAUAAGUAUAGUAGCACAAGAAGAAUCAGAAAAACUUGAUAUAUCACAACUUGGGUGUCCAACUCAAAAUGACAGUACACAAUACAACACCAAGAAAACGGGCUCGUGUAGCAACAGUUUGUUCAAAAUCUGUAUUCUUCAGAAAAGAACGUGCUGAAGUAAUUACAAGAGCCUUAACAAAGUUAGUUGCAUCUUGCAGAUUAUCGUAUGAUUUUAUAUCUAGUUCUGCAUUUAGAAAAUUUAUGAAAGAACUGGAACCAAACUAUGAUUGUUCUUGUAGUCUAACGAUAUUUUGCCGCCUUCGUAUGUUUGAGAGUGAAAUAAAAACCAAAAUUGAAGUACAACUAACUGAAAGGCAGUAUGUUACUCUCGACACAGAUUGCUGGACUUCUAGAGCUCAAGAAGAUUACAAAUUUCAAUGCACAUUUUAUUGAUAAAGACUAGAUACCGCAUAUUAUUAAUCUCUGUACUAAAGUGCUUGAAGAACGUCAUACAAUUGAAAAUUUUGCAGACAGUUUAUGAAAUGUUAUUUCGCAAUAUGUUGUUGAAGAUAUAAUAAUUGCUGUAGUAAAAAUGUUAAUGCGAGAAAUAUUGUAUUAGCUAUAAACCUUAUACUACACGUUCAGGUCAAAGUUAUUUGUGCUGGUCAUAUAAUUUAUUUGGCAGUACAAAACGCCCUUAAUCAAGUAGAUGUAUAUAAUUUGUUAACAAAAGCCAGUAAGGUUGUCUCAUUUUCGACAUUUUGCUCUUGCUUCGAAAAAUAUUAUUGCUAUUUAAAAAAAAUUAGUUUUUUACAAAAAAAAAUUUUUUAAUUGAACUUAUAUCGAAAUAGUUUAAGCAUAAUCUUAAGAAGUGUAAAUUUCGCGCCCAUGGACUCUAAACUUUAAAAUACAUGUCCGACUAUUUAAAAAUUAAAGAUGACGGCAUCCAAAAUGGCAGUUUAUAACUGGAAAAUUUAGGCCGGUAUUCAUAGUCAAAUCUUAUUUCAAGAUCGUCUCAAGGAAUGUCUUAAGAUGCUAAUACGGCUCUGUGAUUGGUUGAUGGCAUCUUAAGACAGUAUUUAAGAUGAUCUUAAAUAUAAGACCCGACUAUGAAUACCGGUUUUUAGAAUACUGUUCAAUUUCAACAGAAACAAAGAAAGAAAUGAUCGAAAAUAGAUCUGUAGUGAUCAAAAUUAAUUCAAGGGUUUUUGAAGUCGCUGAUUGCAAAUUCGAUGUCAAAAUUACAAAAUUAAAAAUGGCGGAUUCAAAAUGGCGGAUCGCAUUCGCAGAUUUUUUAAUAAAAUUGACUUGUAAUUGGGACCAUGGGGUUUUGAGGAUUGUUGAUUACAAAUCUGAUGUUAAAAUUGCAAAACUCAAAAUGGCGGAUCUAAGAUGGCUGAUUGAAUUUGGAACAUUUUUAUACAACAGGUUUUUAAUGUUCUAUAGGAUUUAGUCUUAAUCAUUUAGUGAAAUAUGAUACUAUAAAGAACUUAUUGUUAGUAAUUUUUAUAAUGUAUUUUUUUAUUUAUUUUGAUAUUAACUCGCUUAACCUAAAAAAUAUUGUGAAAUUGGAAAUAAGACAAAGCUCAAAUUAUAGAAGCAAA
Molecule: long non-coding RNA, 5297 nt
Filed under: Monomorium pharaonis (pharaoh ant)
Lineage: Eukaryota; Metazoa; Arthropoda; Insecta; Hymenoptera; Formicidae
Description: uncharacterized LOC105839337, transcript variant X5
Source: RNAcentral